GAUGAACGCUGGCGGCGUGCCUAAUACAUGCAAGUCGAGCGAACAGAUGAGGAGCUUGCUCCUCUGACGUUAGCGGCGGACGGGUGAGUAACACGUGGAUAACCUACCUAUAAGACUGGGAUAACUUCGGGAAACCGGAGCUAAUACCGGAUAAUAUAUUGAACCGCAUGGUUCAAUAGUGAAAGACGGUUUUGCUGUCACUUAUAGAUGGAUCCGCGCCGCAUUAGCUAGUUGGUAAGGUAACGGCUUACCAAGGCAACGAUGCGUAGCCGACCUGAGAGGGUGAUCGGCCACACUGGAACUGAGACACGGUCCAGACUCCUACGGGAGGCAGCAGUAGGGAAUCUUCCGCAAUGGGCGAAAGCCUGACGGAGCAACGCCGCGUGAGUGAUGAAGGUCUUCGGAUCGUAAAACUCUGUUAUUAGGGAAGAACAAAUGUGUAAGUAACUAUGCACGUUUUGACGGUACCUAAUCAGAAAGCCACGGCUAACUACGUG
RNAcentral lists this ribosomal RNA (497 nucleotides) under uncultured bacterium. Its description in RNAcentral is "partial 16S ribosomal RNA". It matches the Rfam family "Bacterial small subunit ribosomal RNA", at positions 28 to 507 of the family's 1533-position model. The record is from RNAcentral.